This 253-nucleotide ribosomal RNA is filed under the name uncultured bacterium. RNAcentral's name for it is "partial 16S ribosomal RNA". It matches the Rfam family "Bacterial small subunit ribosomal RNA", at positions 524 to 776 of the family's 1533-position model. The record is from RNAcentral.
UACGUAGGGGGCUAGCGUUGUCCGGAAUCAUUGGGCGUAAAGAGCGUGUAGGCGGUCCGGUAAGUCCGCUGUGAAAGUCGGGGGCUCAACCCUCGAAUGCCGGUGGAUACUGUCGGGCUAGAGUGCGGAAGAGGCGAGUGGAAUUCCUGGUGUAGCGGUGAAAUGCGCAGAUAUCAGGAGGAACACCAGCGGCGAAGGCGGCGCUCUGGGCCGGAACUGACGCUGAGGAGCGAAAGCGUGGGUAGCAAACAGG